GACGAACGCUGGCGGCGUGCUUAACACAUGCAAGUCGAACGGAAAGGCCCUGCUUGCAGGGUGCUCGAGUGGCGAACGGGUGAGUAACACGUGGGUGAUCUGCCCCUUACUUUGGGAUAAGCCUGGGAAACUGGGUCUAAUACUGGAUAGGACCAUGCUGUAGGUGGUGUGGUGGAAAGAUUAGUUUCGGUAAGGGAUGAGCUCGCGGCCUAUCAGCUUGUUGGUGGGGUAAUGGCCUACCAAGGCGUCGACGGGUAGCCGGCCUGAGAGGGUGGACGGCCACAUUGGGACUGAGAUACGGCCCAGCAGCCUACGAGAGGCAGCAGUGGGGAAUAGUGCAAAAUGGGCGCAAGCCUGAUGCAGCGACGCCGCGUGGGGGAUGACGGCCUUCGGGUUGUAAACUCCUUUCAGCCAUGACGAAGCCCUUGUGGUGACGGUAGUGGUAGAAGAAGCACCGGCUAACUACGUG
This 469-nucleotide ribosomal RNA is filed under the name uncultured bacterium. RNAcentral describes it as "partial 16S ribosomal RNA". It matches the Rfam family "Bacterial small subunit ribosomal RNA", at positions 28 to 507 of the family's 1533-position model. The record is from RNAcentral.